CAUUCCCAAGAUUCUCAUUGAUGGGCAGCAAAUCAGAGGCUAAUCUCCACUCUAAACUCACAAAUAAUGUCAGUUUCCCCAAUCAAAGCUACUAGCUAUUGCAGUUUCCUUUUCCUCAAGAGGACUUGUUCACUUGGUGAGGGCCUUCUAUCUUCAAAAGCGUCCAUCAGGGCUCUUCCAAGGGGAACUCUUCCUUCUUCUUGAUAUGGAGAAUGUUUUGAGGCGAUUCAUCUCUUAGUUGCGGAUUGUUUGAGAGCUGGACAUCUGAUGAAUGGUCAAAAGACAUGUUUUGAAGUUUUCCUAUGUGUGAAAAGCUGUGAUCAUAAGCUAUUCUCUCAAUCUGAUGGGGCUAUUACAAGGUUGAUGGAAAAGAUGCCAUGGAAGGAUCAACCUUGUUAGCAAUAUAGUCCUUGUGGAUGGCAAUUUCCUGGUGAGAGAGUGUCCAUGCCUUGUAAGGGGAACCUGUUAUGAAAAAUACUUGGCAAUUCUAAGUCUAAUUUAAGAGUCUAUAGUUACAAUGGUGAGUCCAUGAAAGUAUACAUGGGGCUGAGGCAGAGAGAGAGAUUUUAUUGAGGCCUAGAGCUCUAUAAGAAUCUGCAUGAAUGAUGAUUCUGGCUGGCUACAGGGAUUCUCAUGCAUGAGGUAAAGAACAGAGAUAUGGAUUAGCCAAUACAUGGGAAAACAGCUGGUUGGAUUUUAAGUCAUGCCUUGCAGAAAAUUCUUCUCCAUUCUGAUGACAAAUGCUGCUAAUGAGGCUUGUCAGCCCUUUAAGGAAACAUAGCUUGGUCUCCUCAAGAGCUUUCAUUGAUCUGUUGAAGGAAUCUGAGUUGGCACAUCUGAAAAGCUUGAGUGGUUAACCCUCGUACCAAUUCAUCAGAAGCCUCCCUAUAGGAUGCAUAUCUUCUGAUCUAAAGGGAAGGUGCUGUAACAAGAGCUGCUGCCCCAACAUUGAAUGGCACUGGCAUUACUAGAUUCUCUACUUUGAGACUGAUCAUAUUCUAAUUGGAUGCUAAGUUGUCAAAAUUUGCUCAAAUUCUCAGAAAAUACUUGUCUAUGCCUAUGUAAUGGAUGCCUCAAUACAAUAUACACCAUUAUGCUGUCUUCAGUUCUAUGUUAAGGAUGUCUCAAUGCAGUAUACACGAUUAUUGCUACAUGUAAAAGUUAAUGAGUAUUACAAUUUAACACAUUGUAACGUAUGUGAUCUU
Coffea eugenioides is the source of this 1205-nucleotide long non-coding RNA. RefSeq lists it as uncharacterized. The transcript has 7 exons. The record is from RefSeq and is a predicted model, not a curated record. NCBI's taxonomy places the organism in Eukaryota, Viridiplantae, Streptophyta, Magnoliopsida, Gentianales, Rubiaceae.